Rana temporaria (common frog) is the source of this 1354-nucleotide long non-coding RNA. RefSeq lists it as uncharacterized. The record is from RefSeq and is a predicted model, not a curated record. The transcript is spliced from 2 exons. NCBI's taxonomy places the organism in Eukaryota, Metazoa, Chordata, Amphibia, Anura, Ranidae.
AGAAAAAAAGAGAUCUUCUGUGUGCUUGUGCUUGAAAUAUAAAAAACACCAUUGUUUCUGUGUUCUCAAAUGUGACCGUGACACCAACCCCUGAAGAUCAUCCGCUCACCAGAGUCAAAUGACUCCGAUGGCUGGCAUGGGUCACAAAGGCUGUGCUGUCUAUUUUAGAAUUGUCUAUAUAGGAUUGUCAUUUUGAGGACACCUGGUGGUUGCCUGUGUGCAAUUGCAGUUCAGUUCCUCACAGGAAUGAAACAGGAAGUGGUGCCUUUGUUAAUAAAGUUUCUUAUUCAACAACAUAAAGUUUUUACCUCAGAAGCCAUUUGGUCCUGAUGCAGACAAGGGAAGGGUUUCAAAUGUGGCUCUAGAUACACAAAUGUCUGUACCUUGCAACCGGACAUUCGUUUGCUAGUCUACAUUUUGAAUUUAUGGUGGGCAAGUCCACGGUCGGCACCAUUGUACAUGACACAUGUCUGGUUUUAAGGGAGGUGCUGAAAGAUGUAGUCAUGAGGAAGCCUACAAAAGAAAUUUGGUCCAACAUUGCCCAAGUCUUUUGGAAAAAUUGCAGUUUUCCGAACUGUGUCGGAGCAAUCGAUGGCAAACAUGUAAGAAUUGUGAUGCCAGUGGCUACUGGCAGUAGAUAUUUUAAUUUAUAAGAUUUUUUUUUUCUUUUUGUUCUAAUGGCAGUGGCAGAUGCUAACUACUGCUUCACAUAUAUUGAUGUGGGCUCAUAUAGGAGCAGUACUGACUCGCGUAUCUUUAUGCACUCAUCCUUUGGGCAAAUGUUGCAUAACAAUGAGUUGGACCUCCCUGAAAAUUUGCCAUUACCUGGAACAAAUGGACCUCCUCUCCCAUAUGUAUUUGUAGGAGAUGAGGCGUUUUCCCUGGGCGAACACCUGAGGAGGCCAUUUUCCAAUCGAAAUCUCAAUGUUGACAAGCGGCUAUUCAAUUAUCGUUUAAACAGGGCCAGAAGGGUGGUGGAAUGUAGUUUUGGCAUUUUGGCCAAUAAGUGGCGCUUGCUGCAUACACCAAUACAUUUUAAUAUGGAGAAUGCCGUGUCUGCGGUGAAAGCCACGCAUGUCCUCCACAAUUUUGUAAGGCAACGUGAUGGUAAUCAAUUUGAGGAAGGUAUCAUGCACGAUUUGCAAAGUGCACAGUGGGCUGGAAGCAGGGGCUCCACCACUGGUGCAAAUAUCAGAGAAAAGUUUAAGGACUUCUUCAUGUCACCAGCGGGGGAAGUAUCAUGGCAGCUUCAAGCAAUCUCAUAAUCAUACUCUACAUACAGAUCUGUGCUUUGCUUUUAUUUUUUAAGUUGUGUAUAUAUUGUAUUGUUUCAAUAAAACCACCAGUAUCUUCA